RNAcentral lists this ribosomal RNA (414 nucleotides) under uncultured prokaryote. Its description in RNAcentral is "bacterial SSU rRNA". It matches the Rfam family "Bacterial small subunit ribosomal RNA", at positions 505 to 918 of the family's 1533-position model. The record is from RNAcentral.
GUGCCAGCAGCCGCGGUAAGACGAAGGGGGCAAGCGUUGCUCGGAAUCACUGGGCUUAAAGGGCGCGUAGGCGGUUGUGUAAGUCCAGGGUUGAAGGCCCCGGCUCAACCGGGGAAAGGCCUUGGAGACUGCAUGACUUGAGUGAGCGAGGGGAGGGCGGAAUUCCUGGUGUAGCGGUGAAAUGCGUAGAUAUCAGGAGGAAGGCCUGUGGCGAAGGCGGCCCUCUGGCGCUCAACUGACGCUGAGGCGCGAAAGCGUGGGUAGCAAACAGGAUUAGAUACCCUGGUAGUCCACGCCGUAAACGAUGGAUGCUCGGUGUUGCCCCGCCUUUAGGGGCAGUGCCUAAGCUAACGCGUUAAGCAUCCCACCUGGGGAGUACGCUCGCAAGAGUGAAACUUAAAUGAAUUGGCGGGG